AGGAUUUUCGACAUUGGUACUCCUGUAAGAAAGGUUAGGAUGGUUCCGGUAAUUCUGAUUGAACCCUCUGUUCUGAUAGUUGCCAUACCCAUUCACGAAAUUCAACUCUGCCUGUAGAUCGUCAGAACCGUCUCCGCUAAACUCUUGAUGCACUGGACCUUUACCCGAAUCCUCACAGUAGUUGAUAACCCGCUGAUCUCUCUUGAGGAGCU
Molecule: long non-coding RNA, 212 nt
Filed under: Arabidopsis lyrata
Lineage: Eukaryota; Viridiplantae; Streptophyta; Magnoliopsida; Brassicales; Brassicaceae
Description: long non-coding RNA (ALYR_LNC003227)
Source: RNAcentral